Molecule: ribosomal RNA, 254 nt
Filed under: uncultured bacterium
Lineage: Bacteria
Description: partial 16S ribosomal RNA
Rfam family: Bacterial small subunit ribosomal RNA
Source: RNAcentral
GACGAACCGUGCGAACGUUAUUCGGAAUCACUGGGCCUAAAGCGCGUGUAGGCGGGACGGCACGUCGGUCGCUGAAAGCCCCCGGCUCAACCGGGGAACGGGCGCCGAUACGACCGUCCUGGAGGGACGUAGGGGGACCUGGAACUUCCGGUGGAGCGGUGAAAUGCGUUGAGAUCGGAAGGAACGCCCGUGGCGAAAGCGAGGUCCUGGACGUUUUCUGACGCUGAGACGCGAAAGCCAGGGGAGCGAACGGG